CCUACGGGAGGCAGCAGUGGGGAAUCUUGGACAAUGGGCGCAAGCCUGAUCCAGCCAUGCCGCGUGAGUGAAGAAGGCCUUCGGGUUGUAAAGCUCUUUUGUCAGGGACGAUAAUGACGGUACCUGAAGAAUAAGCCCCGGCAAACUUCGUGCCAGCAGCCGCGGUAAUACGAAGGGGGCUAGCGUUGUUCGGAUUUACUGGGCGUAAAGCGUACGUAGGCGGAUUGUUAAGUGAGAGGUGAAAUCCCAGGGCUCAACCCUGGAACUGCCUUUCAUACUGGCAAUCUCGAGUUCGGAAGAGGUGAGUGGAAUUCCUAGUGUAGAGGUGAAAUUCGUAGAUAUUAGGAAGAACACCGGUGGCGAAGGCGGCUCACUGGUCCGAUACUGACGCUGAGGUACGAAAGCGUGGGGAGCAAACAGGAUUAGAUACCCUGGUAGUCCACGCCGUAAACUAUGGGUGCUAGCCGUUGGAAAGCUUGCUUUUCAGUGGCGCAGCUACGACAUUAAGUACACCCCGCCCGUCGGGUAGGUACGGGUCGGCGAAGAAUUAAACUAACAAGAAGUAGUAGACGCGNGAGAGCGACGACGACGACGACGGAGGAGGAG
Molecule: ribosomal RNA, 606 nt
Filed under: uncultured bacterium
Lineage: Bacteria
Description: bacterial SSU rRNA
Rfam family: Bacterial small subunit ribosomal RNA (bases 1-519)
Source: RNAcentral